Regulatory RNA element from Clostridium sp. CAG:226, 210 nucleotides. It matches the Rfam family "raiA RNA". The record is from Rfam. Lineage: Bacteria; Bacillati; Bacillota; Clostridia; Eubacteriales; Clostridiaceae.
ACGCUUCGGGUCUGUGGUUGAAAGUCGAUGCCAGUCGCAGGCGAAACGAUCCACAUAAGCGGGCCAAAGCGCCCGUGAGCAUGGUGCGGCUUAGAUGUAAGUCCGUCCGCGCAUAACGCGCGAGAGGGCCGGUAGUGGGAGGCAAUUACGCUCAGUAGCGGAAGCCCCGGGCGGCGAGUGUGGGGGCAAAGACCAGGUCAGCCGAAGUUU